This 68-nucleotide transfer RNA is filed under the name Oribacterium sinus. It matches the Rfam family "tRNA". Rfam says of the family: Transfer RNA (tRNA) molecules are approximately 80 nucleotides in length. Their secondary structure includes four short double-helical elements and three loops (D, anti-codon, and T loops). Further hydrogen bonds mediate the characteristic L-shaped molecular structure. tRNAs have two regions of fundamental functional importance: the anti-codon, which is responsible for specific mRNA codon recognition, and the 3' end, to which the tRNAs corresponding amino acid is attached (by aminoacyl-tRNA synthetases). tRNAs cope with the degeneracy of the genetic code in two manners: having more than one tRNA (with a specific anti-codon) for a particular amino acid; and 'wobble' base-pairing, i.e. permitting non-standard base-pairing at the 3rd anti-codon position. The record is from RNAcentral. Lineage: Bacteria; Bacillati; Bacillota; Clostridia; Lachnospirales; Lachnospiraceae. RNAcentral also lists the same sequence under 2 other names.
GCGAAGUAGCCAAGUGGUAAGGCGUGGGUCUGCAACACCCUGAUCACCGGUUCAAAUCCGGUCUUCGC